AGCCCUGAGGUGUUAGACAUGCUAGAUUGCAAAUCUUGAGUUGCAGCGUAACUUCUGCCGGGGCUU
RNAcentral lists this transfer RNA (66 nucleotides) under Nemipterus randalli (Randall's threadfin bream). RNAcentral describes it as "tRNA-Cys". The record is from RNAcentral. Lineage: Eukaryota; Metazoa; Chordata; Actinopteri; Spariformes; Nemipteridae.